AGGGCGAUGAGCGGGACUGGCGGCGGCGGCGGCGGCGGCGGCGACGGCGGCGGGAGCUACCGCGCGCUGAGCCGCCACGAGAGCAACGAGGGCUCGCACGAGGCGCUGGAUCCCACAGAAGCACUGG
Molecule: ribosomal RNA, 127 nt
Filed under: Schizochytrium aggregatum
Lineage: Eukaryota; Bigyra; Thraustochytrida; Thraustochytriidae
Description: partial Bacterial small subunit ribosomal RNA
Source: RNAcentral